AACAGAACACAAUAAAACGAAUGAUUUUCUUAACACGUUUACAGACUGUUAUCCAUUUUCCACAGUGCCAAAGGUUUUUUUAUUUAUUUAAGCGUUACGAGAAAGAGAUGAAAGAGCAGAUGGGGUUAACAACCACAAUGGAGCUCUUUGCUCGCAUUACGAUUUAUGAUAUCGAUGACAUAAGGGUGCGCGUGACCAAUUUUGAGAUUAAAAUUGAGUCAUUAUUGAAGACUGCCGAUUUUGCACUCGGUGAAGAAGAUGCGUUGAAGCUUGUAAUGGAUGAAAUCAAGAAAAAGUUAGGAGAAUUUAUGGAAAUCAUCGAGAAAUUAGGUGAACAAGCCGAUAAGUGUAGCCGUGAUAUUAGGAUGGCAAGGGCAGUGAUUUUGCACCGGAUGAUGACACACUCUAGCACGUCAACAACCGGAUCCAUGCCUUUGGAUCUCUAGCAACAGCAGACCGACCUCGCAGUGUUUGUCUUAUACCGAAUUUUUACGCUCUCGAGAUAAUGAAAUCCUGCUUCUACUCAUAAAGUGUUGUUGUACUUCACAUUGUAACUGUGCUAUGGAUAUUCUAGUAAGGCCGGUUUUGUUCGGACCGAUUUUCCGUCAAUAAAUCGGGUCUCUUUGUUACUUUUAGCAAUAGAGUAAGUUGUGAAAGUUGAAAGAGUUAAUUGAAAGAAUCUGAAUUCUCAAAACUUCAUACUAAAAGGAAGUGUUUGUUCAAAACUUCCAAAUGAUUGAAUUAGAUGUGUUGAGCUUCAUCAAUGUGUUAGAAAUUAAAAUAAAAAUAAAAAUUUAUUUUGGUUUUA
Gossypium arboreum is the source of this 808-nucleotide long non-coding RNA. RefSeq lists it as uncharacterized. The record is from RefSeq and is a predicted model, not a curated record. The transcript is spliced from 2 exons. Lineage: Eukaryota; Viridiplantae; Streptophyta; Magnoliopsida; Malvales; Malvaceae.